AGAGCGAACGCUGGCGGCAGGCCUAACACAUGCAAGUCGAGCGCCCGUAGCAAUACGGGAGCGGCAGACGGGAUAGUAACACGUGGGAACGCGCCCUUCGGUUCGGAAUAACUCAGGGAAACUUGAGCUAAUACCGGAUACGCCCUUACGGGGAAAGAUUUAUUGCCGAAGGAACGGCCCGCGUCCGAUUAGCUAGUUGGUGAGGUAAUGGCGGUCACCAAGGCGACGAUCGGUAGCUGGUCUGAGAGGAUGACCAGCAUCACUGGGACUGAGACACGGCCCAGACUCCUACGGGAGGCAGCAGUGGGGAAUAUUGGACAAUGGGCGCAAGCCUGAUCCAGCCAUGCCGCGUGGAUGAUGAAGGCCUUAGGGUUGUAAAGUCCUUUUAACGGGGAAGAUAAUGACGGUACCCGUAGAAUAAGCCCCGGCUAACUUCGUGCCAGCAGCCGC
This 450-nucleotide ribosomal RNA is filed under the name uncultured bacterium. RNAcentral's name for it is "SSU rRNA". It matches the Rfam family "Bacterial small subunit ribosomal RNA", at positions 26 to 518 of the family's 1533-position model. The record is from RNAcentral.